UCUCUCCGUAGUAUGUAAGGGAUCACAUGACUAUGAUGUCAUCAAAGGUCCUUCAGCCCCAAGAGGCGCUAUCGGCAGAUUCAGCACGGACUUCUCUGGCCUCAUCCCUCGUGCCGACUCCCCAGGUGUCAUCCCUUAUCUCUGCGCAGUGCUGUCUCUACCGGCUGUUCAUCACAACAUUCAGGUUCCUUAGGUGCAGGACUCUCUUCUUUUGAAAGACAAUGGUCCUUUCCAUCAAUGACCCACCAAGGAUGGAGAAGGACAGAGACCACAUGGCUACAAGGAUAUUAGACCUCACCCUGGAGAUCAUCUCCUUGAUAACUGGAGAGGAUUACACAGUAGUGAAGAAGUCGUCUGGUGAGUGUGUGACACCCCGUGUGUCAGGAGGAU
Long non-coding RNA from Bufo gargarizans (Asiatic toad), 390 nucleotides. RefSeq lists it as uncharacterized. The transcript is spliced from 4 exons. Lineage: Eukaryota; Metazoa; Chordata; Amphibia; Anura; Bufonidae. The record is from RefSeq and is a predicted model, not a curated record.